Molecule: ribosomal RNA, 202 nt
Filed under: uncultured bacterium
Lineage: Bacteria
Description: partial 16S ribosomal RNA
Rfam family: Bacterial small subunit ribosomal RNA
Source: RNAcentral
UUCGGACUGGAGUCUGCAACCCGACUCCACGAAGUUGGAUUCGCUAGUAAUCGCGCAUCAGCCAUGGCGCGGUGAAUACGUUCCCGGGCCUUGUACACACCGCCCGUCAAGCCAUGGGAGGCCGGGGGCGCCUGAAGUCCGGGACCGCGAGGACCGGCCUAGGGCGAAACUGGUAACUGGGGCUAAGUCGUAACAAGGUAUC